This is a long non-coding RNA of Zingiber officinale, 271 nucleotides long. RefSeq lists it as uncharacterized. The transcript has 3 exons. Lineage: Eukaryota; Viridiplantae; Streptophyta; Magnoliopsida; Zingiberales; Zingiberaceae. The record is from RefSeq and is a predicted model, not a curated record.
GGAUUCCUUCAUUCUUGUUGUUGAUUGAGGGUUAGAGGAAUCCUUGGUACACAGAAUCGAAUCGGGCGACACCUUAUGGAGACAAUUGGUUGAGAGGUAUCGGGUUGGUGGACAGUAGCUACAUUAGGGCUGUGGGGUGCUGUUCUGUUCUUGCUGUGGUGUUUCCUUGCCGGCAGCCCUCAAACCAGCAUCAACAGUAGCUUGAUUGAGGACUCUGAUUAGAGACAGGCGUCUCGACCUUGGAUUGCUUGAUCGUACCUUCUAUUUGAGG